This 554-nucleotide long non-coding RNA is filed under the name Nicotiana tabacum (common tobacco). RNAcentral's name for it is "long non-coding RNA (NTAB_LNC017204)". The record is from RNAcentral. Lineage: Eukaryota; Viridiplantae; Streptophyta; Magnoliopsida; Solanales; Solanaceae.
AUACACGCUGCUACAAUUGUAACUCGAAGAAAAAGAGAAACAGAAGAAUUACUAGUCAACAUUGUAACUCGAAGGAACAAAAAGCAGGCCAAUUUCAUUUUCAAUUCAAUAUCCUUGUUGAACAAAAAGCAGGCCAGUUCAAUUUCAUUUAACUUACGUAACAACAAAAUGAGUUAUCAUGACCUUGAAUUCAAUAUCCUUGUUGAACAAAAAACGAACUGUAUACAUCAAAAGAUUCUCCGUGACUUAGUUACUCCAACGAACAUGCAUGUCCUAUAGAUAAAUACGAUGUCUUUAGCGUGUUUUCUAGUAAUGCAGAACUAAUGAAUGAAUGCAAUUGAAUGACAGUACCUCUUGCAACAUCUAUCAAGAAACUAAUAUAAAUAUUACGAAGACCAGAAAUUCCCAAAAGCUGCUACUUCGAUUCAUUCUUUGAAGGUGUAGAGCUGUUAAGUUGCUGCUGUGCAUGUUGUGGAGGCUGAGACGAUUGUUGUUGUUGCUGCUGCUGCAAGUGAUGCAUGUUUAGCUGAGUUGACUGCUGUUGCUGCAACUGG